CAACUGUCUACGUUGCAGACUUAACCCCCAUGUUCGUUAGACAUUUCUCUUUUUCUAGUAACGUUAUAUUUAGUUCUAAACGUUUGUGAAAAAAAAUAAAAUUGACUACUUUCAAAUAACCACAAAAAAUGUCUGGAGCAGAUGAGAAAUACCUUGACGAAUUAGAUAAAUACAACAUUGAACAGGACAAAUACGAGAACCAUGGUCAUAGUGGAAAAGGACGGAGCAAGAAAGAGGCUGAACAGCAUCACUACGAAGAUCCCAGUGGCCACACAAGAAAGAAUGUCCAGAAACUUAUCAACAAUGCACACAAACAUACAGAAAAUAAGGCCGAAAAGAAUAAAAAAUGAUUGGAACUGUUCUUUCAUUGAUCACACAGUGGACCAAGACUUAACUGGACUAUGGCUGUGGUCUAAGAAUACACCUCAAAUUGCUUUGUGUAGACAGCUUGUUACAAGAGUUGUCAACACAAAAUGUUCUAGUCUUGAUGACAGCUAUUGAGAACUUUUCUUUAUUAUUGAUUUUGACUUUACCCAAAUAUAUAUAGAACUACUUAAAUUUUUUACUUUUAACUUUCUUUUUGCUAUUAAAUGAAUAAUUUUCUUUGGCUGUUAAAUUUAAUUACUGUUUUUUCCAUUUAGUAAUAUUAUUCUGUUGGAGUGGUUUUUUUUCCCUCUGUUUAGGUAUGGUAAUUGGUUGCAUACCAUAUCAUUAGUGUGUUUUGGUUAUUUGUUAAUAGUUGAAGUUUGUGAUAGCAUUUAUUCUUUCUAAGUUCUGCUAAAUUUAAUUUUGUAGUGGUUAACAUAAUGUUUGGUAGGAAAAGAAAUUAAAAAUUUAAUGUUAUAUGCAAAGGAUUAUUUUUCAUACCUUGAAUUUAAAAUGUAUCGAUUAACCUUUUCCCUUUCAAAUUAAUAUUUGUAACUUAAGUUACAUUUUUUUUUGGCAUUUAAUAUAAUCCAUUUAAACUUGUUAAAAAAAUGUGAUAUAUUUACUGUAAAUACAUUUUGUUAUUAAAUUCAUGAUUAUACCUCA
Long non-coding RNA from Biomphalaria glabrata, 1032 nucleotides. RefSeq lists it as uncharacterized. The transcript has 2 exons. Lineage: Eukaryota; Metazoa; Mollusca; Gastropoda; Planorbidae. The record is from RefSeq and is a predicted model, not a curated record.